CCACUCCCAAAGCUGCACACUUGGUCUAAGAGGAUGAUCUUCCCUGAUAGAAGAGGACCAUUCUUCCAUCAAGGUAUACGAGUAGCUGUGCUCCCCUGCUAGGACCUCCAAACAAGCUCUCAGUGUGUGACCUCCACCUCAUGGCCCCAUAUAGAGGCUAAACUCCAGC
This 169-nucleotide small RNA is filed under the name Prolemur simus (greater bamboo lemur). Its description in RNAcentral is "7SK RNA (ENSPSMG00000020792.1)". It matches the Rfam family "7SK RNA", at positions 116 to 253 of the family's 331-position model. Rfam says of the family: 7SK was discovered as an abundant small nuclear RNA in the mid-70s but a possible function has only recently been suggested. Lineage: Eukaryota; Metazoa; Chordata; Mammalia; Primates; Lemuridae. The record is from RNAcentral.